This 253-nucleotide ribosomal RNA is filed under the name uncultured bacterium. RNAcentral's name for it is "partial 16S ribosomal RNA". It matches the Rfam family "Bacterial small subunit ribosomal RNA", at positions 524 to 776 of the family's 1533-position model. The record is from RNAcentral.
UACGUAGGUCCCAAGCGUUAUCCGGAUUUACUGGGCGUAAAGAGUCUGUAGCCUGAUAUGUAAGUCUGUUUUCAAAUACCUGGACUCAAUCGAGGGAAGGGAAUAGAUACUGCAUAUCUAGAGAUAUUUGGGGGUUAGUGGAAUUUCCGGUGGAGCGGCGAAAUGCGUUGAUAUCGGAAAGAACGCCGAAAGCGAAAGCAGCUAACUACAAUACAUCUGACGGUGAGAGACGAAAGUUUGGGUAGCAAACGGG